This 72-nucleotide transfer RNA is filed under the name Labilithrix sp. RNAcentral's name for it is "tRNA-Pro". It matches the Rfam family "tRNA". Rfam says of the family: Transfer RNA (tRNA) molecules are approximately 80 nucleotides in length. Lineage: Bacteria; Pseudomonadati; Myxococcota; Polyangiales; Labilitrichaceae. The record is from RNAcentral.
CUGGGCAUAGUUCAGAGGCCAGAUCACUCCCCUCGGAAGGGAGAGACGGAGGUUCGAGUCCUCCUGCCCAGA